RNAcentral lists this ribosomal RNA (301 nucleotides) under uncultured bacterium. RNAcentral's name for it is "partial 16S ribosomal RNA". It matches the Rfam family "Bacterial small subunit ribosomal RNA", at positions 509 to 807 of the family's 1533-position model. The record is from RNAcentral.
CAGUCGCCGCGGUAAUACAGAGGGUGCAAGCGUUAAUCGGAAUUACUGGGCGUAAAGUGCGCGUAGGUGGUUUGUUAAGUUGGAUGUGAAAUCCCCGGGCUCAACCUGGGAACUGCAUCCAAAACUGGCAAGCUAGAGUAUGGUAGAGGGUGGUGGAAUUUCCUGUGUAGCGGUGAAAUGCGUAGAUAUAGGAAGGAACACCAGUGGCGAAGGCGACCACCUGGACUGAUACUGACACUGAGGUGCGAAAGCGUGGGGAGCAAACAGGAUUAGAUACCCGCGUAGUCCCUGUCUCUUAUAC